This 497-nucleotide ribosomal RNA is filed under the name uncultured bacterium. Its description in RNAcentral is "partial 16S ribosomal RNA". It matches the Rfam family "Bacterial small subunit ribosomal RNA", at positions 28 to 507 of the family's 1533-position model. The record is from RNAcentral.
GAUGAACGCUGGCGGCGUGCCUAAUACAUGCAAGUCGAACGCAUAGCGAAAGGUGCUUGCACCUUUCAAGUGAGUGGCGAACGGGUGAGUAACACGUGGACAACCUGCCUCAAGGCUGGGGAUAACAUUUGGAAACAGAUGCUAAUACCGAAUAAAACUUAGUGUCGCAUGACACAAAGUUAAAAGGCGCUUCGGCUUCACCUAGAGAUGGAUCCGCGGUGCAUUAGUUAGUUGGUGGGGUAAAGGCCUACCAAGACAAUGAUGCAUAGCCGAGUUGAGAGACGGAUCGGCCACAUUGGAACUGAGACACGGCCAAAACUCCUACGGGAGGCGGCAGUAGGGAAUCUUCCACAAUGGGCGAAAGCCUGAUGGAGCAACGCCGCGUGUGUGAUGAAGGCUUUCGGGUCGUAAAGCACUGUUGUAUGGGAAGAACAGCUAGAAUAGGAAAUGAUUUUAGUUUGACGGUACCAUACCAGAAAGGGACGGCUAAAUACGUG